RNAcentral lists this ribosomal RNA (322 nucleotides) under Salmonella enterica. RNAcentral's name for it is "partial 23S ribosomal RNA". It matches the Rfam family "Bacterial large subunit ribosomal RNA", at positions 2609 to 2925 of the family's 2925-position model. Lineage: Bacteria; Pseudomonadati; Pseudomonadota; Gammaproteobacteria; Enterobacterales; Enterobacteriaceae. The record is from RNAcentral.
GUUUAGAACGUCGUGAGACAGUUCGGUCCCUAUCUGCCGUGGGCGCUGGAGAACUGAGGGGGGCUGCUCCUAGUACGAGAGGACCGGAGUGGACGCAUCACUGGUGUUCGGGUUGUCAUGCCAAUGGCACUGCCCGGUAGCUAAAUGCGGAAGAGAUAAGUGCUGAAAGCAUCUAAGCACGAAACUUGCCCCGAGAUGAGUUCUCCCUGAGGCUUUAGGUCUCCUGAAGGAACGUUGAAGACGACGACGUUGAUAGGCCGGGUGUGUAAGCGCAGCGAUGCGUUGAGCUAACCGGUACUAAUGAACCGUGAGGCUUAACCUU